CUUUUUGCUAUUUCUUUGGGCCGCUCCCGCGGCAUAUGGAGGUUCCCAGGCUAGGGGUCGAAUCAGAGCUGUAGCCAAUGGCCUACACCAGAGCCACAGCAACGCGGGAUCCGAGCCACGUCUGCAACCUACACCACAGCUCACGGCAACGCCGGAUCGUUAACCCACUGAGCAAGGGCAGGGACCGAACCCGCAACCUCAUGGUUCCUAGUCAGAUUCGUUAACCACUGUGCCACGACGGGAACUCCAGAAGCAAAGCGUCUUCUCCAUCAAGGGCCGAUCGUAAACCUGAAGACAGCCAUUGCUGCCCACUGUCCCCUGGUGAUCUCUUCUUGAUUACAUCCCCACAUUGCUUGGCUUGCUAUGAGUAAGCAAGGAGGAGACUGGCCUUGUUCUUGGUCUCUAUCCCAGCUUUCUCUUUCUCUUUUUAAAUGUAUUGACAAAACGGGAGCACAGUUCUCAAAGGAGAGAAAUUUGCCAAGAAUAGGCUUCUAGAACAUAGAUUAUUAUUUUUGAAUCUGUCUAAUAUUUAUCAAGGAAAAGAGCCCUGGGAAUACAACUGGCCAUACAAGCUACACGUCUAUCUUAGAUCCUACAUAUUCUUAUCCACGUGCACUGCUUUUAGAUUGACUACUAAUCUAUUCCUUUAGUCAAAGAAAAUAUACUUACUGGGCACUUUCUCUGGAUCAGGCUGUAUGCUAGGCUUUGGGGUUAGACAUGGGGCUACAGCAAUCAAUAAGGCAUUGAUGCAUAUUUGAGAAACUUACACAUGUGUGAAAGGAUAAUUAACAUGAAAAGUAUUGUGUCAUAAAAUAUGCUCAGAGAAUUCAAGGAGCACUGUGGAAAGGCACUGGGUCCAUUCGAUGAAUCUUCAAAAAAUGAAGAGUAGAGAAGAAACAGUACAGAUUUCAGGCAGAAGGAACCACAUGGGCUAAGGUACAGGGGACAGGUAUAGGUGAAAGUAGAGGAAGGUUUAUAUGAUUUGGUAUUGCUGGCAAAUAAAAUUGGAGGCAGGAAGGGGCAAAUCAUCUCAGCGGGUCACCUAGAGCUUCAUUCAUUGCUAGCUGAUUCAUUUAUCAUUCAUUCAUGCAACCCUUCAUCCAUCCAUCUGACCAUUCACUUCUUUUUUCAAAGCCUGUGAUAAGUCUUUUCUUUAAGCUUGGAGUUGCACUAGGCCCUCAGAACUCAAAAGUUGUGCAGACAAUGCCAUUUGGACUCUCCAAGACAUUUUAAAUUUGAUAUUCCUGCUCCCUUUGUAUAAGACACCUAAUUCCUAUAUGAUCUGUAUCAUGAUCCAGCUAUCCACCAGGUGCAUACACUAAAAGCCAGUUGAAAUUCCCCAAUUGUCUUCCCCGGUAAAUAGAACAAAUGCAGCAUCUCUCCAGGUGUAAAGUCUUAAGACAUGGCUUUCCCAUUGAAUUUUACCCCCAUUUUCUACUAUCCCAGCCCUCUCGGUGGGGGGCAUUAUUUUUCUGUUCUGAUCUCCAUUCAUCUCUCCUUCUGAAAAUGGUUUCCUCUAUGCUACUGUCUCUAUACUCUACUUCCAAUACCUGUGGGGUUCAGGUGGGGCUGGUUUCUUCCUCCCACCUCAGGGAUGCAGAUAUGACCCAAUCCUAAUCAGGAAUAUUUCAUUGCUCUGGACAAAAUGGUUGGUUCAGUUGUGCAGCUGGGUCCGAGCUGAGUCAACUGAAAUAAUACAAAAAUAAUGGAUAUUGCGAUGAUUAGGAACUUGAACUCUGGAUCCAGGCCAAUUUGGUUUGAUUUCUGCCAGAAGUAUCACUUUAAGCAUAUUUCAUAGUCACUAGGAUAGACUGAUUGCAAAAAUGGUCUCAAUUCUUCACCCUAUUAUCUACCAAUGCAAUUUUUCUAUAUGACUCUCAAAAUCCUCUCAUGAGUUAGUGAUCUAUUUCCCCAUCCUUUGGAUCUGGACUGAACUUGUGACUACUCUGGCAAAAAGAAUGUGGCAGAAGUGACAGUAUUUUAGUUCCAAGCAUAAGCCUCAAAAAGCCUUGAGCAAUUAGGCCAGAAAAAGACAUAAAAGGCAUCCAAAUAGGAAAGGAAGAAAUAAAAUUGUUUCUGUUUUGCAGAUGACAUGAUCUUAUAUAUAAUACACUCUGAAGAUUUCACCCAAAACUGUUAGAAUGAAUAAACAAAUUCAGUCAAGUUGCAGGAUACAAAAUCAACAUUCAAAAAUAGGUUGCAAUUCUAUAUACUAAAAAAUAAAUUAGCUAAAAAAGAAAUGAUUAUCACAACAUUGCAAAUCAACUAUACUUCAAUAAAAACAUUUAAAAAUUAAAAAAAAGAAAUACGGAAGAUAAUCCUAUUUACAAAAGUAUCAAAAAAUGCUUAGGAACAAAUUUAAUUGAGGAGGAAGGAAAGCUGUACACUGGAAAUUAUAGGACAGUAAUGAAAGAAAUAGAAAAAAACAAAUAAAUGAAAAGAUUUAUGUUCAUAAAUUGAAAGAAUUAAUAUUGCCAGAAUGUCCAUGUUACCCAAAGCCAUCUCUAGAUUCAAUGAAAUUCCUAUCAAAAUUUUAAUGGAAUUUUUCACAGAAUUAGAAAAAUGCAAUCCCCAAAUUGAUAUGGAGCCACAAGAGACCCAAAAUAGCCAAACUAAUCUUGAGAAAGAAGAGCAAAAUGGACACAUCCUCCUUUCAGAUCAAACUGUAUUACAAAGCUAUAAUCAUCAAAACAAUACAGCACUGGCAUAAAACAGACACAUAGACCAAUGGAAGAGAAUCAAGAGCCUAGAAAUAAAUCC
This 2760-nucleotide long non-coding RNA is filed under the name Sus scrofa (pig). Its description in RNAcentral is "lncRNA (ENSSSCG00040049231.1)". The record is from RNAcentral. Lineage: Eukaryota; Metazoa; Chordata; Mammalia; Artiodactyla; Suidae.